GCCAGCAGCCAUAUCACCCUGCAGCUUACAACUGGUAGUCCACUGCAGCUCAGCAGGUGGGAACCUGGCCAGUACCUGGAUGGGAGACCUCCAGGGAAAAACUAAGGCUGCUGCUGGAA
RNAcentral lists this ribosomal RNA (119 nucleotides) under Lepisosteus oculatus (spotted gar). The record is from RNAcentral. Lineage: Eukaryota; Metazoa; Chordata; Actinopteri; Semionotiformes; Lepisosteidae.